RNAcentral lists this long non-coding RNA (2894 nucleotides) under Ananas comosus (pineapple). RNAcentral's name for it is "long non-coding RNA (ACOM_LNC029938)". The record is from RNAcentral. Lineage: Eukaryota; Viridiplantae; Streptophyta; Magnoliopsida; Poales; Bromeliaceae.
CAAACCUUUUUUUAAUAAAAUAGGAAAACUUCAAAUAUCAUUCUGAAUUUCAUACUUUUUUAUUUAUUCUGUGAUUUAAAGCGUAUCAAUUUAGUAUCUUAUGCUUUUAUUUUUAUCUUUUUAUUAUCGAUUUCAUUAAUUUUUUUUUCGUUAAAUCAAUGACAAAGUUAAAAUUAAAGAAUACUAAAGUGAAUAAUCGAUAAACCUAGCUAGGUGAAAUAUUUAAAGUUUUUUGUGUAUAAUUUAACGAAUUAUUAACAGAGAAACGGACAAAAAGGUAAAAAUGAAACCAUAGGACACUAACUUGAUACAUUUUAAACCACAGGGUACUAAAUUGAGAAAGUGCGAAACCAAUGGUAUCUGAAGUUUACCCCAUAAAAUAACUACAUGAGAUUUAGGCUUCAUUUAAGAUUACAAUAAAAUUGUAUCCUGCUAAGAAAGUAUAAUUAAAAAAAAAUAUUUUAUUUGUUGUUAUAUAUAAUUUUACGUUUUUUUUUUUUUUGAUAUCGCAAUGAAUCGAUUACGACAUACUUACUAUGAUCUGAAUAAAAAGUAAAAAAACUAUAUUCCAUAUGUUUUUCUCCAAACUCUAUUUUGCCUAUUUAUAUUAGAUAUAUCUCAAUACCAAACGAGUCUUUUUUAAAGCACCGUUUGGUUCCGGUAUAAAAAAGAACUAGCCAUUACAGGUAUAGGUACAAGUAUGGGGAUAAGAAAAAUAGCGUUUGGAUGAAAAUUGGAUAAUUUCCGGGAAUAAGAAAAAUAUUAGGUAGUUUUAUAUAGAAAAUGAAGGUAUUGGUGGGGAUAACCGAGAACUACUAUUCUCGGAUAAAAAAUUAGCGUUUGGGUAUAAAGGAGGGAAUAGGGGUCUAUCUCUAUCCCCUAACCAAACACUGCUUGUGUAACGCACAAGGGUGGGGGCAUGGGAGUGUGUUUUGUUGUUCAAUGGAGACAGUUUAUAAUUAAAGUUUAGAAUCUUUUUGUACUAAUGGAAGUUGCACAAAUAUUUUUAUAGGGGUACCAACCAAUCUGACUAUGACAAGUUAAGCUAAGUCGGUUGUGCUACUAAUUAAGGGCCUCUAUAAGGUCUAUGGUUCAUUAUAUCGCGUCGUUAGGCUAAGCAUCUUGUUAAGAUAUCCACAAUAAUUUACCUUUACAGAAAAAUGCUAACUACAACAGAAGUGUAUAUCUUACAUCUUUUCUGUUCUAGAGUUUUACAAAUUGGUCUUUUGGAAUUUUAUUUAAGAAUAAGUCGACAAUGUUGAAACUUCACUAGAAACUAAGAUCGUAUUUUCUAGAAGCUAAUUUUUUUUUAUUUAGUCAAUAUUUCAAUGCAAAUGAACAUAACUAAAAACAAAAAAAAAACAAAUGGAAAAAUUAUAGAAUGAGUAUUAUUUUUCAUUAAGAUGCCCGUAGAUUGUACGCGCUCUUUUCAAUGUAUAGCAAAGUAUGAAUUUAAUAUCUAAUUAAUCAACUACUCCGAAUAGUGAUGAUAGUAAUAAGCUUAAGCACACAUUCUAACCAAUUAACUACUCUAAAUAGAAUUGAUAAUAAUAAAAUUAAGCACAACAACAUGGGAGGGGUUAACUUACAGUAAAAUGGAAAGUUAAUAUUUAGCCAAUCAAUUACUCUAAAUAGCGAUAAUAGUAAUAAGAUUAAGCACACACUUAGAAAGAGACAAAAGGUCAAACAGCAGCAUCAACACAGGAGAGAUUAAUUUACAGUAAGAUAGAAACGUAAUAUUUAACCAGCCAACUACUCUAAAUAGUGAUGAUAGCAGUAAACUUAAGCAACAUGCUUAAAACAGAGGCGAAAGGUGAAACAGUGGCACCAACAUGGGAGGGAUUAGCCUCUUCCUAGAUGGCCAGAGGACCUGNAGCUUUUUGGUCCCCUCACCGCGCGUGGUUGUUGUACAAACUGAGUUUUUUUUUUUUUUUUUUUUUUUUUUUUUUUUGGCUCAACAUAUUGUGUCCCUUCUCCACCUUGGUUAUCGAGCUCAAACCUUUUUUUUUUUCAUAAAAUAGGAAAAACUUUAAAUACCAUCAGUAUGAUUUCAUACUUUCUCACUUAUUUUGUGGUUUAAAGUGUAUCAAUUUAGUAUCUUAUGCUUUCAUUUUUAUCUUUUUAUUAUUGAUUUUACUAAUCUUUUUUUGUUAAAUCAGUAACAAAGUUAAAGCUAAAGGGUACUAAAGUGAAUAUUCGAUAAACCUAGGUGAAAUAUUUAAAGUUUUUUUUAUAUAAUUUAACGAAUUAUUAACAGAGAAACGGACAAAAAGGUAAAAAUGAAACCAUUGGACACUAACUUGAUACAUUUUAAAUCACAUGGUACUAAAUUGAGAAAGUACGAAACCACAAGGAUGGUGUCUGAAGUACCCUAUAAAAUAACUAUAUGAGAUUUAGGCUUCAUUUAAGAUUACAAUAAAAUUGUAUCCCACUAAGAAAGUAUAAUUAAAAAAAAAAAUUUUAUUUGUUGUUAUAUAUAAUAUUACGUUUUUUUUUUUUUUGAUAUUGCAAUGAAUCGAUUACGAUAUACUUACUAUGAUUUGAAUAAAAAGUAAAAAAACUAUAUUCUAUAUAUUUUUCUCCAAACUCUAUUUUGCCUAUUUAUAUUAGAUAUAUCUCAAUACCAAACGAGUCUUUUUUAAAGCACCGUUUGGUUCGGGUAUAAGAAAAAAGUAGCCAUUAUAGAGAUAGGUACAAGUAUGGGGAUAAGAAAAAUAGCGUUUGGAUGAAAAUUGGAUAGUUCUCGGAGAUAAGAAAAAUAUUAGGUAGUUUUAUAUAGAAAAUGGAGGUGUUGGUGGGGAUAAUCGAGAACUACUAUUUUCGAAUAAAAAAUUAGUAUUUGGGUAUAAAGGGGAUAAGGGCUUAUCCCUAUUCCUAUUCCCUAACCAAACACU